AGUGAACGCUGGCGGCAUGCCUUACACAUGCAAGUCGAACGGCAGCACGGGAGCAAUCCUGGUGGCGAGUGGCGAACGGGUGAGUAAAGUAUCGGAACGUGCCCAGUCGUGGGGGAUAACGUAGCGAAAGUUACGCUAAUACCGCAUACGAUCUAUGGAUGAAAGCGGGGGAUCGCAAGACCUCGCGCGAUUGGAGCGGCCGAUAUCAGAUUAGGUAGUUGGUGGGGUAAAGGCUCACCAAGCCGACGAUCUGUAGCUGGUCUGAGAGGACGACCAGCCAUACUGGGACUGAGACACGGCCCAGACUCCUACGGGAGGCAGCAGCGGGGAAUUUUGGACAAUGGGCGAAAGCCUGAUCCAGCCAUGCCGCGUGCAGGAUGAAGGCCUUCGGGUUGUAAACUGCUUUUGUACGGAACGAAAAGGUUUGGGCUAAUAAGCUGAGCUCAUGACGGUACCGUAAGAAUAAGCACCGGCUAACUACGUGCCAGCCGCCGCCGUAA
Molecule: ribosomal RNA, 500 nt
Filed under: uncultured bacterium
Lineage: Bacteria
Description: partial 16S ribosomal RNA
Rfam family: Bacterial small subunit ribosomal RNA
Source: RNAcentral